RNAcentral lists this ribosomal RNA (253 nucleotides) under uncultured bacterium. RNAcentral describes it as "partial 16S ribosomal RNA". It matches the Rfam family "Bacterial small subunit ribosomal RNA", at positions 524 to 776 of the family's 1533-position model. The record is from RNAcentral.
UACGUAGGCAGCAAGCGUUGUUCGGAAUUACUGGGCGUAAAGAGUGUGUAGGCGGUGCUCUAAGUUCGGUGUGAAAUCUCCUGGCUCAACUGGGAGGGUGCGCCGGAAACUGGGGUGCUGGAGCGCGGGAGAGGAAAGCGGAAUUCCUGGUGUAGCGGUGGAAUGCGUAGAUAUCAGGAGGAACACCGGCGGUGUAGACGGCUUUCUGGACGGUUUCUGACGCUAAGACGCGAAAGCGUGGGGAGCAAACAGG